CCUACGGUGGACUGCAGUGAGGAAUAUUGGUCAAUGGGCGUGAGCCUGAACCAGCCAAGUCGCGUGAGGGAAGACGGCCCUACGGGUUGUAAACCUCUUUUAUAAGGGAUCAAAGCGAGUCACGUGUCACGCAUUGUAAGUACCCUAUGAAUAAGCAUCGGCUAACUCCGUGCCAGCAGCCGCGGUAAUACGGAGGAUGCGACCGUUAUCCGGAUUUAUUGGGUUUAAGGGGUGCGCAGGCGGCGGUUAAAGUCAGCGGUCAAAUUGCGUGUCUAAACCCAGGACUGCCGUUGAAACUGGAUGACUUGAGUGUGUGAGAGGUAGGCGGAAUGCGUGGUGUAGCGGUGAAAUGCAUAGAUAUCACGCAGAACCCCGAUUGCGAAGGCAGCAUACCGGGGCGUAACUGACGCUGAUGCACGAAAGCGUGGGGAUCGAACAGGAUUAGAUACCCCUGUAGUC
Molecule: ribosomal RNA, 459 nt
Filed under: uncultured bacterium
Lineage: Bacteria
Description: partial 16S ribosomal RNA
Rfam family: Bacterial small subunit ribosomal RNA
Source: RNAcentral